Molecule: ribosomal RNA, 460 nt
Filed under: uncultured bacterium
Lineage: Bacteria
Description: partial 16S ribosomal RNA
Rfam family: Bacterial small subunit ribosomal RNA
Source: RNAcentral
CCUACGGGGGGCAGCAGUGAGGAAUAUUGGUCAAUGGGCGAGAGCCUGAACCAGCGAAGUCGCGUGAAGGAUGACGGCCCUACGGGUUGUAAACUUCUUUUGUCAGGGAGCAAUUGAGUCCACGUGUGGUCUUAGCGAGUGUACCUGAAGAAAAAGCAUCCGCUAACUCCGUGUCAGCAGCCGCGGUAAUACGGAGGAUGCGAGCGUUAUCCGGAUUUAAUGGGUUGAAAGGGUGCGUAGGCGGAAUAUCAAGUCAGCGGUAAGAGUUCGGGGCUCAACCCCGUCGUGCCGUUGAAACUGAUGUUCUUGAGUGGGCUAGAAGUAAGCGGAAUGCGAGGUGUAGCGGUGAAAUGCAUAGAUAUCACGCAGAACACCGAUUGCGAAGGCAGCAUACCGGCGCCCAACUGACGCUGAAGCACGAAAGCGUGGGUAUCGAACAGGAUUAGAUACCCGAGUAGUC